GCGCGCUUAACUCAGCGGUAGAGUAUCACCUUCACACGGUGGGAGUCGUAGGUUCAAAUCCUACAGCGCGCA
This 72-nucleotide transfer RNA is filed under the name Myxococcales bacterium. Its description in RNAcentral is "tRNA-Val". It matches the Rfam family "tRNA". From Rfam's summary of the family: Transfer RNA (tRNA) molecules are approximately 80 nucleotides in length. Lineage: Bacteria; Pseudomonadati; Myxococcota; Myxococcia; Myxococcales. The record is from RNAcentral.